CGGUAACAGGCCUUCGGGUGCUGACGAGUGGCGGACGGGUGAGUAACGCGUAGGAAUCUGCCCACGGGUGGGGGACAACUCGGGGAAACUCGAGCUAAUACCGCAUAAGCCCUGAGGGGGAAAGCGGGGGAUCUUCGGACCUUGCGCCGGUGGAUGAGCCUGCGUCGGAUUAGCUAGUUGGUAGGGUAAGGGCCUACCAAGGCGACGAUCCGUAGCUGGUUUGAGAGAACGACCAGCCACACUGGGACUGAGACACGGCCCAGACUCCUACGGGAGGCAGCAGUGGGGAAUAUUGGACAAUGGGGGCAACCCUGAUCCAGCAAUGCCGCGUGUGUGAAGAAGGCCUGCGGGUUGUAAAGCACUUUGAGGUGGGAAGAAGGGCUUGGGAUGAAUAAUUUCAGGCAUUGACGUUACCACCAGAACAAGCACCGGCUAACUCCGUGCCAGCAGCCGCGGUAAUACGGAGGGUGCGAGCGUUAAUCGGAAUUACUGGGCGUAAAGCGCGCGUAGGUGGUUUGAAAAGUCUGAUGUGAAAGCCCUGGGCUUAACCUGGGAAUGGCAUUGGAUACUGUCUGACUGGAGUGUGGGAGAGGGGUGUGGAAUUUCCGGUGUAGCAGUGAAAUGCGUAGAGAUCGGAAGGAACACCAGUGGGCGAAGGCGGCACCCUGGACCAACACUGACGCUGAGGUGCGAAAGCGUGGGGGAGCAAACAGGAUUAGAUACCCUGGUAGUCCACGCGGUAAACGAUGUCAACUAGCCGUUGGGGACGCAUAAGUUUUCGGUGGCGCAGCUAACGCGAUAAGUUGACCGCCUGGGGAGUACGGCCGCAAGGUUAAAACUCAAAUGAAUUGACGGGGGCCCGCACAAGCGGUGGAGCAUGUGGUUUAAUUCGAUGCAACGCGAAGAACCUUACCUGGUCUUGACAUGUCGCGAACCCUGCAGAGAUGUGGGGGUGCCUUCGGGAGCGCGAACACAGGUGCUGCAUGGCUGUCGUCAGCUCGUGUCGUGAGAUGUUGGGUUAAGUCCCGUAACGAGCGCAACCCUUGUCCCUAGUUGCCAGCGAGUGGAGUCGGGAACUCUAGGGAGACCGCCGGUGAUAAACCGGAGGAAGGUGGGGAUGACGUCAAGUCAUCAUGGCCCUUAUGGCCAGGGCUACACACGUGCUACAAUGGUUGGUACAGAGGGCAGCGAAGCUGCGAGGUGGAGCAAAUCCCAGAAAACCGAUCUUAGUCCGGAUUGCAGUCUGCAACUCGACUGCAUGAAGUCGGAAUCGCUAGUAAUCGCGAAUCAGAAUGUCGCGGUGAAUACGUUCCCGGGCCUUGUACACACCGCCCGUCACACCAUGGGAGUGGGUUGCACCAGAAGUCGGUAGUCUAACCUUCGGGGGGGCGCU
RNAcentral lists this ribosomal RNA (1393 nucleotides) under uncultured bacterium. Its description in RNAcentral is "bacterial SSU rRNA". It matches the Rfam family "Bacterial small subunit ribosomal RNA". The record is from RNAcentral.